Molecule: ribosomal RNA, 447 nt
Filed under: Triticum aestivum (bread wheat)
Lineage: Eukaryota; Viridiplantae; Streptophyta; Magnoliopsida; Poales; Poaceae
Description: partial small subunit ribosomal RNA
Source: RNAcentral
AUGGCCAACGUUGUCUUCAAUUUCAACGCGUUCCUAGGGAAAACCAAGCUGAAAGACGAUGGCAGCAACUAUACGGACUGGGUCCGAAACCUGAGGAUCAUCCUCAUAGCUGCCAAGAAAGAUUAUGUCCUACAAGCACCGCUCGGUGAUCCACCCGUCCCACAAAACCAAGACGUUAUGAACGCUUGGCAGACACGGGCUGAUGACUACUCCCUCGUUCAGUGCGGCAUGCUUUACAGUUUAGAUCCGGGGCUCCAAAAGCGUUUUGAGAGACAUGGAGCAUAUGAGAUGUUCGAAGAGCUGAAAUUGGUUUUUCAAGCUCAUGCCCGGGUCGAGAGAUAUGAAGUCUCCGACAAAUUCUUUAGCUGUAAGAUGGAGGAAAAUAGUUCUGUCAGUGAGCACAUACUCACUAUGUCUGGGUUACAUAACCGCUUGACUCAGCUGUGA